This 112-nucleotide ribosomal RNA is filed under the name Pogona vitticeps (central bearded dragon). Lineage: Eukaryota; Metazoa; Chordata; Lepidosauria; Squamata; Agamidae. The record is from RNAcentral.
CAUUGUGUCACCCCAGAUGCACAUGAUCUUAUCUAAUUUCAGAAGCUAAGCAGACUUGAGCCUGGUGAGUUUUUGGAUGGGAGACUCAGAGAGAAUGCCAGGGUCUCCAAGU